UGAUAAUCUGCCUUCAAGAGGCCGCGAUAACGACUGGAAACGGCCGCUAAUACCCCAUAUGCCUCCGGGUGAAACGUAAUUCGACUGAAGAUGAGCUCGCGUCAGAUUAGCUAGUUGGUGGGGUAAGAGCCUACCAAGGCGACGAUCUGUAGCUGGUAUGAGAGGAUGAUCAGCCACACUGGGACUGAGACACUGCCCAGACUCCUACGGGAGGCAGCUGUGGGGAAUUUUCCGCAAUGGGCGCAAGCCUGACGGAGCAAGACCGCGUGGGGCAUGACGGCCUAAUGGUUGUAAACCCCUUUUCUCUGGUAAGAAGACUGACGGUACCAGUAGGAUCAGCCUCGGCUAACUCCGUGCCGAGCAGCCGCGGUAAUACGGAGGAGGCCAAGCGUUAUCCGGAAUUAUUGGGCCGUAAAGCGUCCGUAGGUGGUUAUUCAAGUCUGCUGUCAUAGCGUGGGGCUUAACUCCAUAGAGGCAGUGGUAACUGAGUGACUAGAGUGCGGUAGGGGUCGAGGGAAUUCCCAGUGUAGCGGUGAAAUGCGUAGAUAUUGGGAAGAACAUCAGUGGCGAAAGCGCUCGACUGGGCCUGCACUGACACUGAGGGACGAAAGCUAGGGGAGCGAAUGGGAUUAGAUACCCCUGUAGUCCUAGCCGUAAUCGAUGGAUACUAGGUGUUGCUCGUCAUCGACUCGAGCAGUGCCGUAGCCAACGCGUUAAGUAUCCCGCCUGGGGAGUACGCUCGCAAGAGUGAUACUCAAAGGAAUUGACGGGGGCCCGCUCAAGCGGUGGAGUAUGUGGUUUAAUUCGAUGCAACGCGAAGAACCUUACCAGGGCUUGACAUGUCCGGAACCUUGCCGAGAGGUGAGGGUGCCUUCGGGAGCCGGAACACAGGUGGUGCAUGGCUGUCGUCAGCUCGUGUCGUGAGAUGUUGGGUUAAGUCCCGCAACGAGCGCAACCCACGUUCUUAUGUUGCCAGCAUUGAGUUGGGCACUCUAGGGAGACUGCCGGUGACAAUCCGGAGGAAGGUGUGGAUGACGUCAAGUCAGCAUGCCCCUUACGUCCUGGGCUACACACGUACUACAAUGCUGUGGACAAAGGGCAGCCAGCCAGCGAUGGUGAGCUAAUCCCAGAAAACACGGCUCA
Molecule: ribosomal RNA, 1143 nt
Filed under: uncultured organism
Description: bacterial SSU rRNA
Rfam family: Bacterial small subunit ribosomal RNA
Source: RNAcentral